This is a non-coding RNA of Cyanistes caeruleus (blue tit), 1304 nucleotides long. NCBI's taxonomy places the organism in Eukaryota, Metazoa, Chordata, Aves, Passeriformes, Paridae. The record is from RefSeq and is a predicted model, not a curated record.
GCAAAAGGCCAUCCAGCCUUAAAGCCCUGAGAUUAGAGGCAAUAUUUACUAAAGGCCGGUAGAUGCUCCUUUAACUUGAUGGCCGGGACGUGCUUCAAAGUCCCGAGUCCUGAAGUCCACAGGUUCCCCCACUCUCCCGCUCCUCACUUCACAGUUGGUUACCUCGCAGAAACCAUGUGAGUCACCGUGCUGAGACAUAAUACUACAGGUUCCCAAUAAAUACGGACAGAGGCCUGAAUGCGGAUCCACUGAUAUUGACCUCCACUUGGCAAACAUCAGAGAAAGAAUCUCCUGCCAGACGCCCAGGAGCAGCAAUAAUAGGUAGUGGGUAUCUCAUUUCCAACUUCUUGCUUAUUGACCUGAUUUCUCACAACGAACAGGGGAGGAGGCUUCUACACAGGUUGGUAAAAGGUAAAAAACACCGAUAAAACAAACUGACAUUGGACAAAGCUUUUUAUUAUUAUGGAGAGAAUCUCUCAGUCUUUGCAGAGGGAUCAAACAUUUUCUGCCCUGUCCGGCUCUUCGAGCCUAUGUCAACACCACGGACUUUUCUUGGGUUUCUUUAUCCUAUCCCUUGUGAGUUCGUUCCCAUAUAGCUAUUAGAACUUUUAUCACCUCAUAGCAGAAAACAAAAACCAAAAAGUCGAAAACAAAAACCAAAAAGUCAAAACCAAAAAAAAUCUACAUCACCAACCAGCAACUAACAGCCCUUCCCCCUUCCAAACCCAAACAACUGUUCGAACAGUGGGAUUUUGAAGGAGAAAAAAAGCUUCUUGGGAUUUUGAAAAAGGCUUGCACAUUAUACCACACAAACUGUAAUACACAUAUGAGUCUUAAUUUCAGCUUGAUGUGUUUAUCGUUCAGCAGCUGCUUCCACAGUAACUUGUUCUCGAGUGAUCUGUGGAAAUGUCACCCUUACAAACAGGAUUUUAAAGUUUCUUAUAGAGACAUAGGAUUCAAAUGACGAGAUGUAGCAUCUCUCUGCCUCUACAAAUAUGUUUUAACUUGUUCUCUAAAUGCAUUUUCUAUUACCCCUUUCUUUGUUCUUCUCUCUCUCUUUUUUAUUUAUUUAUUUUUUUAAAAUUUUUAAUUCUGGCAGCAGAAUUGAGUCAAAUCUUCGAAACAGACAAAACUCUGGAAUCAGCAGAGAAGAACAACAUAUGAAAAUAUGUCUUGAAGGAAAUAAAAUAUGUAAAAGCACUGUCUAGACCCCUGGUUUCUCAAAUGGUCAAACUACACCCAUGGAAACUGGGACAAACCCCAGUGCAAUAUCUAAGAAAUAUUAAAAUUGCGGUCCUCAUGUA